RNAcentral lists this ribosomal RNA (1837 nucleotides) under marine metagenome. Its description in RNAcentral is "bacterial LSU rRNA". It matches the Rfam family "Bacterial large subunit ribosomal RNA", at positions 1 to 1977 of the family's 2925-position model. The record is from RNAcentral.
UUAAGUAUAUAAGAGUAUAUGACGGAUGUCUAGGUUUCUAUAAGCGAUGAAAGACGUGAUAAGCUGCGAUAAGCUUCGUGUAGAUGCAAACAAUCUGUAAUACGAAGAUUUCUGAAUGGGGAAACCCGAUCCUUUUGGAUCUUAUAGCAUACCCGGUGAACUGAAACAUCUAAGUAACCGGAGGAAAAGAAAACAAUAGUGAUUUCCGUAGUAGUGGCGAGCGAACUGGAAAAAGCCCAAACUGUACUUGUUUUUGCAAGUACAGGGUUGUAGGACUUUUAUAAUUUUAAUUAAACUUAGUAGAAUAAAUUGGAAAAUUUAACCAUAGAGGGUGAUAGUCCCGUAGAUAAAAAGUUUAUGAUAAAGAAAAGUAUCCUGAGUACCACGGAACAUGUGUAAUUUUGUGGGAAUCUGCCAGAACCAUCUGGUAAGGCUAAAUAUAAAUAGAAAACCGAUAGUGAACUAGUACCGUGAGGGAAAGAUGAAAAGUAUUCUGAAUAAGAAAGUGAAAUAGAACCUGAAAUCAUAUAUUUACAAGCGGUAGAAGUCUUCGGACGACUGCGUGCCUUUUGCAUAAUGAGCCUACGAGUUGCUCUUAUCUAGCAAGGUUAAGUCUAAUUGACGGAGCCAAAGCGAAAGCGAGUCUUAACAGGGCGUUUAGUUAGGUGAGGCAGACGCGAAACCAAGUGAUCUACCCAUGACCAGGUUGAAGCUAAGGUAAAACUUAGUGAAGGACCGAACCAGUUGACGUUGAAAAGUCUUUGGAUGAGUUGUGGGUAGGGGUGAAAGGCUAAUCAAACUUGGAAAUAGCUCGUUCUCCCCGAAAUGCAUUUAGGUGCAGCCUCGGGAUUUAUUGUCGUAGAGGUAGAGAUACUGGUAAGGCUAGGGGGCUUCACCGCCUACCAAACUUUGUCAAACUCCUAAUACUACGACAUUUGCCCGGGAGUGAGGGCAUGGGUGCUAAGGUCCAUGUCCGAGAGGGAAAGAACCCAGACCAUCAGUUAAGGUCCCAAAAUAUAUGCUAAGUUGAUUUAACGAGGUUCAAUUGCAUUGACAGCUAGGAUGUUGGCUUGGAAGCAGCCAUUCAUUUAAAGAGUGCGUAACAGCUCACUAGUCGAGCGAUUGAGCAUGGAUGAUAAUCGGGCAUAAGCAUAUUACCGAAACUAUGGAUUAAUGGUAGGGGAGCGUUUUAGUUGUGUUGAAGUCGUUUCGUGAGAAACGGUGGAACGGCUAAAAAUGAAAAUGUAGGCAUAAGUAACGAAAAAUAGAUUAUAAAUCUAUUCGCCAAUUAACUAAGGUUUCCUGUUCAACGCUAAACGGAGCAGGGUUAGUCGGGACCUAAGGCAAACCCAAAUGGGGUAGUCGAUGGAUAUCAGGUUAAUAUUCCUGAACUAGUUAGAGAGGACGGAGAGAUGAGCUUUAUACGUACAGACGGAAUUGUACGUCAUACCUAGUAGGUUUCGAACGGAAAUAAGGUGAUUUUCUUCCAAGAAAAGCCUCUAACAUUAAACUCGUACUGUAAACCGACACAGGUAGUUAAGGAGAGAAUCCUAAGGCGAUCGAGAUAGUCAUAGCUAAGGAACUAGGCAAAAUCGCCUCGUAACUUCGGGAGAAGAGGCGCCCCACUUAUGUGGGGCCGCAGUGAAUAGGCCCAGGCGACUGUUUAUCAAAAACACAUGACUUUGCUAAAUUGAAAGAUGAUGUAUAAGGUCUGACACCUGCCCGGUGCCGGAAGGUUAAAAGGAGAUGUUAUCCUCGGAGAAGCAUUGAAUUGAAGCCCCGGUAAACGGCGGCCGUAACUAUAACGGUCCUAAGGUAGCGAAAUUCCUUGUCGGGU